UGCACCCUGUGAUCCACAGCCAAUAUUACUGUAUGGUUUUUGAGAAAAUUGAUAGUAAACUUUACACAAUUUACUGUACUGUACUCAAUAUAUUCUCAUCUUUGACCUCAGAUUACAGGAAAACUAUAAGAGGUGACGCAGAUAUCUCACUGGAUUCUGACUCUGGGUGACCCCCAC
Non-coding RNA from Neolamprologus brichardi, 177 nucleotides. The record is from RefSeq and is a predicted model, not a curated record. Lineage: Eukaryota; Metazoa; Chordata; Actinopteri; Cichliformes; Cichlidae.